MicroRNA precursor from Gossypium arboreum, 131 nucleotides. It matches the Rfam family "MIR7502 microRNA precursor family". NCBI's taxonomy places the organism in Eukaryota, Viridiplantae, Streptophyta, Magnoliopsida, Malvales, Malvaceae. The record is from Rfam.
UGUUAAAAAAUUCAUUCAUUUGUACUAUUAAAAACUGACCUGAUUGAAUAACCAUAUAAUGAUACAUGAUAUACUACAUGUUGAUAUACAUGACCAAUUUUUAACAGUAGCAAUUGAUGAAAUUAUUAACA